AAUAAUAAUAAUAAUAAUUUCUUUGUCACUGCAUCAGAUGCAGAAUUAAAAGUAAUUGAACACUAAAAAGAGAUUAAAGAAUACAAAUUCCACACUAAAACCCACCAGCAAAUCACAAUAGUGAACUGAAACACAUGUUUUAUUGGUCAACAUUUCUUCUCCUUCUCCAACUAGUCCACAAUCCACACGCUCGCCUGGGUUUUUAAUGGAUGGUCUUUUCAACCCCACAUUACAAGGAAACUAUCUAAAAGAGAAUAAUUUGCAAAUAUGAACAUAAAAUUUCAGAGGAAGAAAAAUUCAGGCGUAACAUUACUUAUGAAACUGAGACCAAGAUUGGAGAAUAAUAAUAACAAUAAUAAACACAGAAAUCAACAAAGAUGACCAAAUUUACUUGUGUAUUAUGACCCAACAGGCCCUUGAUUCUUCUCUCUUUAGCCUCUCACAGCUAACAAUGAAGGAAUGACACUUGAGUUUGGAGCAUUGCUCUUAUUGGAUUUAGAAGCUUCUCUGAUGAUGUCUCUCUUGCCAUCUUUUGAAGAAGGCUUCGCAAAAGCUCUCAUUGGACUAGCGAAAGCAAAACCCCAGUUUCUACUCCUUCCAUGAGCAAAAGGCCCAGCUGCAAUCCCAGGUGCUGGUUUCCCAUUGAUAUCUUCUGCUGAAGAUGAAAACCAAUAAGAUGAUGAUGUUGAAGAACAAGAAGAAGAUGAAGACGAGGAAUUGAUCAUGAACCCACCGAAGAUACCACCACAUUUGACUCUUUCUUUCAUGUUAGAGGUGGCUGCAGGGACCUUUGGCUUGCCUUCCCUUUGUGACUCCACUCUCCUAAUACUGCAAUCUCCAAACCCUGUUGAGAUUCUCUCAAAGAAGUCACCAGAGAAGCUCCUGCUUCCACAUCCUACGGAUCUGGAUCUUGAAACCUUUCUCUCAAAAGAUGAAGCAGAGGCAAUGGCUUGGCUAUUAGGACUAUCAUCAUCUUUUACUACCACAAUGUCACCAUUCUUGGACAAAGAAGACCCCAAGCACUUUUCCUCGAGGUUCACCAUAUACCCACUUCUUGUUGUUGUUGUUGUUUUUACUGUCAAUGAUGACACCUUAUCUGUUUUCUUGGUAGUAGAAGACUUGGAGGAAGAAAGAUAAAGAAAUGACCAGAACCCACCUCUUCUUGUAGAGCUAAAUUCCUCACAAUCAUCAGUGGAAGCGUCCAAGAAAUGGUUUCUUGCAGGAGUUGUAGUAGAUUUGCUUCUUUUGAAAACAAUAUCACGAUCUGAUGAUGAUGAGGCCAUGACUUUUUUCUUCUUUUUAGCCAAAAGAAAAGGGAUCCUGGCCCUCCUCGCGUAGUAAUCUUGAUAGUGACAACUAUUUCCACCAUCAUUUCGACCUUUUGAAGAUGUUGGACGCGCAGCAAGCGAAAGUGAAGAAGCACCACGGCCAACAUUACUGGCGCCAACACCACCACCACCAAUAUCAGAUCUAAAAGAAGAAUAAGAAGAAGAGGAAGCAGAAGAAGAAGGGCCACGAAUAGGUAGAGGAAAAGAGGAAGAAACCAACUUGCCAAGCUUUUCCUGAAGGCAAAAAGCACAGAUCCCACCUGGGUUGUUUCUAUAAGGAUGUUCACUGCAUUGCAUACCAUCACCUACGUAUUCUUCACCAGUACCAACUCUACCACCUCCACCGCCACCUCUUGUGAUUAUACCAUCCAUCAUUAUCUAUGUCAAUGGUUCUUGCAAAUUAAAAAAAUCUUUUUUUGUUACAAGCUAUAAAUCUUUUUUCUUGAUCGUGGUCCUUUUAGGCACUCUGAAGGGGCUUUUCACUAGAUUUUUGCUUUCUCGAGAGAGAUGGAGAAGCGAGAGAUGCAACAAAAGAAAGGCCAAAAAUGGUCAGAUUGUAACCGAG
RNAcentral lists this unclassified non-coding RNA (1893 nucleotides) under Hevea brasiliensis (rubber tree). Lineage: Eukaryota; Viridiplantae; Streptophyta; Magnoliopsida; Malpighiales; Euphorbiaceae. The record is from RNAcentral.